Molecule: small nuclear RNA, 105 nt
Filed under: Sarcophilus harrisii (Tasmanian devil)
Lineage: Eukaryota; Metazoa; Chordata; Mammalia; Dasyuromorphia; Dasyuridae
Description: 7SK RNA
Rfam family: 7SK RNA
About the family: 7SK was discovered as an abundant small nuclear RNA in the mid-70s but a possible function has only recently been suggested. Two independent studies have found that 7SK RNA binds the CDK9/cyclin T complex (known as elongation factor P-TEFb).
Source: Rfam by way of RNAcentral
AUGUAAAUGCAAUCUGGUUGGGACAGCUCUCACCCCAAUGAUCACCAGGGCUGAGUCAGCAAGUCUGGCUGACUAAGACAGGUGUCCCCAGCCUCCUUCAUGGCU